ACUCGUUGAAUCCCACCUGCAGCGGCGUCAUACAGAUGAUUAACAAAGCGUAUAAUCGCGCGUUUACGAUUGCUACUCCAGGCUUACAGCUGAUGUGGACGUCACUCUCACUGAACUGGUUUAUUCAUCCCGUUUUUCGCAACGUAAUCAACGGUGUUGAGCAGCGCGCAAACAAGAAAACGAAAUCCGUUGCAAAUGCUAAGACCAACGCGUGCGAGUAUUAAGAAAUGCGUUGGCGCAAACAUGCCAGGAACUGCGUGAGCGGUGUGAUGCCUUGGCUGACGCUAUGUGGAGCUCCCAGAAUGAUCAUUAGCUCAGUAAUUUACCCUGGCCAACGACCAACGAAGAUUACGCUCCAUAUCGAGUGUUAGCCGACAAAAACUUCCGCAUGAAUAAUGCAACGGCACUCUGCAAAAAAGACUUGAUAGCCCCUUGCCCCGACGAUCCACACAUACUGGCGUUCUACGAUAUGUACAGCCCAUCCUCAAUUGAGUGGUCUUUAUCCUGGGUGGCAUUAUGCCAGGACGGCAUCAACCCGCUUCGAUAUUACCGCGCCGAACGCUACUCUGGCCAGCUCUCCAGCGAUGUAGAGUUCAAGUUGCACUAUGAGCUGGAACUAAUUCUUGGCCAGCGAAAUGUCACCAAUGCAAAAAGUGGAAUCUGUCAGUAAGUGUCUCCUUUCCUGGCAUGUUGGUUGAUACAGUUUUAGCGAGAAAUUUUGGUGAAUGUCUGCUUAAUUGUGUACUCAUCUGGACGAUGGCGUGAAACGUUUGGAAGGUCCACUGAACGCGACGUUGUCCAGUGUAUGCAGAUCGGACACGGUGCACACUGCACACUAUGCGCGAUGGGUAUCGGAUGCGG
Paramacrobiotus metropolitanus is the source of this 861-nucleotide long non-coding RNA. RefSeq lists it as uncharacterized. The transcript is spliced from 3 exons. The record is from RefSeq and is a predicted model, not a curated record. Lineage: Eukaryota; Metazoa; Tardigrada; Eutardigrada; Parachela; Macrobiotidae.